Molecule: ribosomal RNA, 469 nt
Filed under: uncultured bacterium
Lineage: Bacteria
Description: bacterial SSU rRNA
Rfam family: Bacterial small subunit ribosomal RNA
Source: RNAcentral
ACUCCUACGGGAGGCAGCAGUGAGGAAUAUUGGACAAUGGAGGCAACUCUGAUCCAGCCAUGCCGCGUGUAGGAAGACGGCCCUAUGGGUUGUAAACUACUUUUGUACGGGAAGAAAUACAGUCACGUGUGAUUGUUUGACGGUACCGUAAGAAUAAGCACCGGCUAACUCCGUGCCAGCAGCCGCGGUAAUACGGAGGGUGCAAGCGUUAUCCGGAAUCAUUGGGUUUAAAGGGUCCGUAGGCGGGUAAUUAAGUCAGUGGUGAAAUGCAGGGGGCUCAACUCCGGCACUGCCAUUGAUACUGGUUAUCUUGAAUUAUUGUGAAGUGGUUAGAAUAUGUAGUGUAGCGGUGAAAUGCUUAGAUAUUACAUAGAAUACCGAUUGCGAAGGCAGAUCACUAACAAUAUAUUGACGCUGAUGGACGAAAGCGUGGGAGCGAACAGGAUUAGAUACCCCUGGUAGGAUAGCG